GGAUUCUGGGAAAAAGCCACUAUGGAGGGUGAGAAAGAAGUCAAUACAACAUUUGUGUACAUGAUACAGUUAGGAUAUCCAUUGGGCUUUCUUUAAGAUCAAUAGAUAUUUCACUUGCUUUUCCAUUAAAUCAACUGAUAGGAAGGUCUAUCUUUGAAUGCAAGUCCAUUUCAAGGUUGAUAUCAAGGAAUACCAUGCUUGUUGCUGCAUUGGGCUUUGUCCUCAGAUUUCCUGCUGCAAAAGUUCGCUCUCUUCUCCCCCUGAGGAAUCCUAGUGGAAAAAGGUAUUUGUUUAGCCCAGUUUAAGAAAUAGCUUGAAGACCCUCUCUAGCUACUCCUAUUCAUUGUUCAGUCUGGUCCAACUCUUUGUGACUCUGUAAACUACAGCCCACCAGGCUCCUGAAUUCAUGGAAUUCUCCAGGCAAGAAUAGUGGAGUGGGUAACUAUUUCCUUCUCUAGGGGAUCUUGCGGAUGCAG
Bubalus bubalis (water buffalo) is the source of this 476-nucleotide long non-coding RNA. RefSeq lists it as uncharacterized. NCBI's taxonomy places the organism in Eukaryota, Metazoa, Chordata, Mammalia, Artiodactyla, Bovidae. The transcript is spliced from 3 exons. The record is from RefSeq and is a predicted model, not a curated record.